ACAAGCCGGCAAGAAACUAGGAGGCAGGGCUUCGCCGAUGACGGCAGCCAAUGAAAAACCACAGAACGCCCCAACUGCAGACUGGGAUAUUUCAAGGAGUCCCGGACAAAGAUGAAGCCGUAAUAGAAUUUGUUCUAGCGCCGUGCUGAUUGGAAUUUACAUCAUUUCUACAGCAGGUGGCAACACAUCAUAAUGUAAGGCACCAGCAAAAUGAUGGAUGAUCACAUGGAGCAAAUAAAGUGAUUGAAAUGCAUAACAAAUCUUGAGAAAAAGCAAUUGUAAACUGAGGGUUACUAAAGCAGUGUUGAUAAAGAUUUUGUAUCACUAUCAAAUAGGUUUUGUUCUUGUAAUAAAUGCAAGUGUGAGGUUCCAGAAGAUAAUAAAGAACAGGAGCAAAUGAAUAACAAUAAAAGAUACACAGCUCUAUAUAAUGCCAGUGAGACUAUACACAAUUACAAUAAAUAUAAAUCACUUCUCCUUUGAGAAGUUUGUAACCAGAUAAAUACGUCAUAGUAUAUUUUUUUCUUCAUUCCUCCAAUAUGGAUGUGUUGUAUUUUUAAUGUUUAAAUCUACUGUACAGAAAUGUUAUUUGUUCCUAAUGAAUAGGAAUUAAUGCAUUGAUAUACUUGUAAUAGAAAAAGAUCCACUAAUAAAAUAUGCUUUCUUAAAUGAC
Long non-coding RNA from Pantherophis guttatus, 673 nucleotides. RefSeq lists it as uncharacterized. The record is from RefSeq and is a predicted model, not a curated record. NCBI's taxonomy places the organism in Eukaryota, Metazoa, Chordata, Lepidosauria, Squamata, Colubridae.